GAAUCUUGCGCAAUGGGCGAAAGCCUGACGCAGCCAUGCCGCGUGAAUGAUGACGGUCUUAGGCUUGUAAAAUUCUUUCACCGGGGACGAUAAUGACGGGACCCGGAGCAGUAGCCCCGGCUAACUUCGUGCCAGCAGCCGCGGUAAUACGAAGGGGGCUAGCGUUGCUCGGAAUUAAUGGGCGUAAAGGGCGCGUAGACGGAUUGUUAAGUCAGAGGUGAAAUCCCAGGGCUCAACCCUGGAACUGCAUUUGAUACUGGCGAUCUUGAGUAUGAGAGAGGUAUGUGGAACUCCGAGUGUAGAGGUGAAAUUCGUAGAUAUUCGGAAGAACACCAGUGGCGAAGGCGACAUACUGGCUCAUUACUGACGCUGAGGCGCGAAAGCGUGGGGAGCAAACAG
Molecule: ribosomal RNA, 399 nt
Filed under: uncultured bacterium
Lineage: Bacteria
Description: partial 16S ribosomal RNA
Rfam family: Bacterial small subunit ribosomal RNA
Source: RNAcentral